This is a long non-coding RNA of Cygnus atratus (black swan), 2064 nucleotides long. RefSeq lists it as uncharacterized. The transcript has 2 exons. The record is from RefSeq and is a predicted model, not a curated record. NCBI's taxonomy places the organism in Eukaryota, Metazoa, Chordata, Aves, Anseriformes, Anatidae.
GCCCCCGCGCGGGGGGCGGGGGGUGUGAGGUGAGGUGCGGGGAUGAGGUGGCGGCGGCGGAGCCCCCCGCGCCCGGCCCCGUGUUCGCCGUCGCGGUUCGGCGGCCCCGCCUCGGGUGCCGGUGCCCUCGGGUGCUGUAAGCACAGGGCGGCGCCUCCCCGAGGGACGGCGGGGCUGCUGCGGGGGCGCUUGGCUCCAAUCUCCGCCUCUUAGCGACGUGCUGGCAGGCCGGGGCGCAGCGCUCAGCCGUCUGACCGGGGGGCUGCGCCUGCGGCCCUGCGCGGUCCGCUGCUUCCUCCGGCGUCGGGAAUAGAAGGCAGAGGAGGUGACUGUGGUUCUGUGACCGCUCAGCUGCAGCCACCGUCGCAGGGUCCCCAUCACGGCAGGUACCAGAGCAGCGGCUCCUCCUGGUCCUAGGGGUGGUUGACCCCAUCACCCAGCUGUUCCACCUGCGCGUCUCCAGGGCACGGAAGAAUUGCCACUAGCAGCACAUUUCUGCCAGUGAAAGUGAAGCUGCGUGGCACAGGGAACAAGCUCGCGUCCCUGCCGGCACCGGCCCAGAGCCACCCCCUCCACCCUCCAGGUCCCCUGGGAAACAACUAGCGGAAGAGGUGAUGGGAUGCUCCAGAGUUUAUUAUUAAAAAAAAAACCAGACACAUGGAUGACUUAUGGGAACAAACAAUCUCCAAGAUGUUUAGAGCCGUAAACUACUUUUUGGAGAAGGCCCUGAAGGCGGGAGGAGCUCUGCCGGAAAUGCUGCGUGCUGCAGUCAGGCAGCUGAGGAGAGCUGAGCUCAGAACAUCUCAGCCCACACGCAGCAAAGCCCCGGGAACAUCGCUCCUUCAGGUUCCACCACGGCUGUUCCACAGCAGAACACACCACCCCUGUCCCUGCCCCUACGCUCUGGCAGGAGGCUCGGGGGACUCAGAGCGUAAAGAAACAGGCGGUGCUGUGAAAAUCAGAAGGAACAGCGAGAAAAGAUGGGGCCCAGGAGCACAGGACAGAGGAACACAUUCACGCGGGUGGCUCUGAGGCUCUCCUCCAGCAGGUCCUGCCGUCGCAGGAAGCCUCCAGACGCUCACAGCAGGAGCCUGGCUGAGUCCUCAGAGCCUCUUCCUCCUCCAGAGGCCACUUGUGCCCUGCAGGCAGGGGACAGGUGAAGUGAGGAGGGUCACCGAGCUGGGUCAGCCUUGGUCACCAGCCCCUGCGCUUAGCCCAUAGCAGGUUCUUUAAAACCCUUUGGUGAGGAGCCUCACAGAUGCAGGUGAGGACAGGGAUCACACCGCCCCACAGUGACCAGCGCGCCUCUCCCCGUGGCCAGGAGCAUGCGUCCUGCGCCAGGCAGUGACAGGAACAGGGCCCAGCUUCUGCUUUCCAUCAGUAAAUCACCUCGAGCCUGGGAUUUUAGGAUGCCAUAGCAAGCAGAGCAGCUACACUAACUACUUACUACAGCAGAUGGGAGGGAGGGGAAAAAAAAAAAAAAGAAAUAGCUGCAAUUGCAGUCAGCUGAAGUACUGAGUUCCAGUCAGGGAGCAGCUCCUGGAACCCUCCACGCACACAGAAGAGAAACCCCCACGGCGACACCACAGCAGAGCCCCCGGUCAGCCCCAGGGCCUAAAUGAAACAGAUGGAAACGUCCCGUGCCCGAGCGAGGAAGACCCACGCUUCCCUCGGGCUCCCUCAUCACUCAUAGAUCCAGUGCUCGGCCGCGUCCUCCCAGCACGUCAGCUCCUCGGGGCGGAACCAGAGGGAGAUCUCCUGCCGGGCACUCUCGACCGAGUCGCUGCCGUGAAUCACGUUCCUGUGCGGGAAGAGGAAGGGGUCAGCCAGCACCACGCAGAGAGAGGCUGGGGAGGGGAGCUGCAGGUGGGAAGAUUUCACCCUGACCAAUUUAACCGAGCCUGCUGAGCCGGUCACGUCACGCAGUGCUCCUUGCCACCACACAGCCCUCCUCCUUCCAGCUCGGUGGCUGCUCGUGAGGUGGGUUAGGGCACGUAUGUGUAGGAGCUGCCAGUUUCCAGCAGUCCUCUUUUCUGUAAUAAAUUAUUUAUGUGCUGAAAGCGG